AAGCAGGUUAAUAUGAGGUCUUGGAUUUUGAAAUUGUAAUGAGGUAAUCUCUUAGCAACUAAGCUUAAAGCUAAUGUCAGGCUUCACUUGAAAUUGCCUGUUAAGAUAGCUUUGGUCAAUCAUUGCUAGGUUUCAAAAAAAGAGCGUGUGGGCCGUUCUUGCUCCAUUGUGAUAAAUGUGACGACUCAAGGAUUUAGCGGUGGACAAUGGGAUGUAGAAUUCGAUUGAUCUGGCACGGUGCCCGCCGCUUUCUAGAAUGAGGAGAAAGUUGACAGUUGGAUGAAGAAAAGCUUUAUGGAGCAAGUGUCAUUAAAGCUGACCUUCAGGAACAGGUCCGAUGUUGUUGCAGGCAGUCCUGGGUGAGUUAUUACAGAAAGUGCAGAGAUCACUGGAUCAGAGGUAAAAAGCACACGAGAGCUCGCCUGAGGAAGCAAGCAAAUGAACUGCCCCAAAGCCAGGAGUCUUCCAGCAUAUUCUGAGCUUGAUCCCAAUGUGUGGCUAGAGCCUCAUAAACCACAACAGGCCUGUGUGGGAUGAGGGUGAGGUUCCUCUCAGUCUCCUGGCCUUCCUCUUGCUCAGCAUUCUGAGCCUGAGCUUCCUGGGGUUUCCUGGCUCAGGCUGAAGAAUCGGCACAUACCAACUGCUUCCCAGCUGCCUGAGCCCCCUGAGCCAAUUGCACUGAAUUCUUGACAGUGAGGUUCCUCAAGCACAAUCCUGUUGGAAGUAAGGGGCACAACAAGUGCUCCCCUCUUCCACCCUCCCCUCUGGGAGGAUGUUUCCAUAGAUGGUGCUCAUCUCCUAGAUGUGGCACUCGUGGGUGGGGUAGUGUUAUCUGUCCAGAUUGUGCCUGGUUAGACUGAGGUCCUAUCUAGUCAUUUGCCCCAAGCAGGGGCCAAGAUUUAGGUCAAGCAUCUUCUCAUUACACAGGACACACUCACCUACUGGCCCAGUCCUGCUGCUUUUGCUGUCGGAGAUGCAGACUAGGGCUAAUUGUCUCCAUUUAAAGUAGAUUGAAAAAAAAAAAUCCCUUUUUCUUUAGUCAGGAUAGUGUAGGCUGCGCUUCAACAACAAAACCCUAGAAAGCUCCAUAGCUUACAAACCGGAGGUUUAUUUCUUCCUUUGCUGUAUGUCCAUUGUGGGUUGGCUGUGGCUCUGUCUCAUGUCGUCUUUACUCUGGGCCCCAGGCUGGUGCCACAGGCCCUAGCUGGGGAUGAGGGGCGGGGAGGAAGGGGUGGGGGAGCAUCAUGAACCAUCCCUUGGCCCUUAAAAUUUCUGCUUGGAAGUGACACAAGGCUCUUCUACUCCAAUUCCAUUGGCCAAAGUCAAUCAUAUGGCUAAGUCUGCUGGCAGUGGGAGAGGGAAGGGACAAUCCUUCGCCAGGGAGCAGCAUGGACUAUUUGUGAAAAAUAGGACACACGUGGUCACCAAGAGAGGCAUCCCUCAAUUUCAUUGUAAAAUCACCUGCCUUAACUUACACAUAUUAACAGAGUCUUUAUUUGCUGUCUUAAGAAACAGAGGUAAAGUCAGGUCAGGUGAGGGGUUGAGCAAUAACAGAUUCAAAGUGCAGCAGGUGAUUGAGGUUAGAGGAAUGGAAUGGGCAGCAAGAUCAGGGAAGAAGGAGGAGCCUGAGUGUGGGGGCCCUUGGGCACUAGGGGGUCUGGAAUUCUUCUUUAGGCAGUGAGGUUUCUCGGAAGAUUUUAGAGUGUUGGGAGGCAUGCUCUUCCUGGGGAGAUCCUCAAAGGCAUUAUAAAGGAGGAAUUGAAGGCUGGGUACCCCUUGGAAACCUUGACCAGGAAAGUAACGAUGAAGAUCUGAUUUUAGAGCUCCUUUGGGAAAAAGGAGAUAGAGGUGGUUAAAGUCCAAAAUUUGACGUCAGUUUCAGACAGAUUUAAGUGCAAGAUCUGCCUUUGAAAUAGCAUAGCUAGGUGAUUCGCGGAAAGUUCCUCUGCCUCUCUAAACCUAUUUCCUUCCAUGGUUUGUCAUGGGGACCAAAUAGGGGAACAUAUGUAAAGUCUCAGCAAAAAGCGUUAUACCUAGAAAGACUGUCCACGCGGAAAAGCAGAGACACCGGAGAUCCAGAAUCAUAGGCUUUGGUGACUGCCUGUGAAGAGCGCGGAUGAGGGAGGAUUUGAAGAGAGUGCCGCAGGGGCUAGGGUGGGCAUGGUAACGCCAUUCAUCUAUACAGGAGCUGGUCAUGUUUGGAGGAGGACAGACACUGAGUCUGAGAUCCCAGGGAGACGUCCAUGGAGAAGGUUCCCAGCUGGGGCUUACAAAUGCGAGUUCCCAGGGGCUGCUGCUGCUGCUGUUGUCAGGAGACCACACUUCCAGAAGCACUCUCUUUGGCGGUUAGAGAACUUGGAAUGGAAGCACCUCCUCUCUGCACUGGGGCACGACAGCCCCCACGCGAAAGAGGACUUCCUAACCUGUUUUCCUUGCUCACAUGCUUCCCGCAUCGCACAGUGUCCUGGAGAGAGUCAGAACGAAGCAAUGGGGGUCACAGUCAAGAAGGCUGCAGGCAGGAGCCCAGUCUCCUGCUGACAGACAGUGUGGAGAAGACAAAGGGGCACAGGGCUGCUCCUCCAGAAAUGGCAUCCAGGUUCCCAGGCUUGGGGAAAAACGAACAUGAUUCUAUGGCUCGGGGACAGACAGAAAGGCCAAUGGAAUGGAAUCAAGUGCCUAGAUGUUGACCCAAUAUACCUGGAAACUUGAGAUCGUAUAGAAGUAGCAUUGAUGUGAGUGUGGAAAGGAUGGCCUAUUCAAUAAAUGGUACCAGGACAUUUAUCUAGCUGAAAAAAAAAGAUCCUACAAAGUUCUUGUUUAUGCUUUCUACAAGCAAGAACAUUCUCCUAUAUAAUCUCAACACAACCACCAAAAUCAGGAAAUUAAUGCUGACACAUUACUAUCAUCUAAUUCUCAGACCUCCAUUCAAGUUUCAAAAUUGUCCCAAUAAUGACCUUUACGGAAAAGAUAUACGGUUCUAAAUCACAUGUUGCCUCAGUUAUGUCUUUUUAGUCUGUAUCAAUCUGGAACAAUUCCUCAGUCUUUUCUUGACUUUCCUAAUCUUGACCCUUUUGAAAAUUACAGGCAAGUUAUUUUGCAGAAUUAUCCCUCAAUCUGGGUUUCCUUAAUGUCUCCUUGUGAUUAGAUCCAGGUUACUUUUCUUUUUUUGGCAGGAAUAUUGCAGAAGUGAUGCUGUAUUCUUCCUGAUACGUAAGAUGUGAGGCAAAAAAAAGUCGUACUAAAUGAUUAUUCCAUUUACAUAAUAUUAAAAAAUACAAACUAAAUAAUGUAUUUUUAAGAUACACACAUACUAGUAAUACUAUAAAGAAAAGCAAGGAAAUGAUAAACACAAAUCGAGGAUAAUGAUAAAAUCUAGGGAAGAGGGAGGAAAAUGUGAUUGGGAAAGCGUGUGGGAGCUUCAAGUGUUAUUUUAUUUUUCAUAUUUUAUACAUAAGUUGUAAAUCUUUUGUUUGCAUGACAUAUUUCCUAGUAUUUUAGAAAAUAAAACUCAUUUCAGAUGCUCAUUUUUCUGAUUUUGCAGUGGGCUAAUGGAAGGUUUUCUGGUCUUUGAGCUAGCGUCUGGAAACCAUGCCCUAGCUCACAAUGAUGAUGCAGAAUGACAGUGUUUGUGUAUACCUGUUGCCCCAGCCUAAUUAUUAAUAGUGCUCUCAGAAGUGUUCCAGAUUGGAGGAUAAAUUAUGCCAAGUUCUACCUAUGUGCAUAUGGCACCUUCAUUCUCAAGAGUUCAGAAGAGCGCUUAAUGAACUGCGUCCUCCUCUCAGACCUCAUCCAUCUUGCUAGAUGACAGGGAAGCAUCCCUGACAGAACCAGCCACUGGACCCGGGCCUGCAGUUGGCCAGUCUCGAAGCUGGGGCUGGAACCGGGGUCUCCUCACUUCCUCCAAGUGUCUGUUCUUGUGCAGCCUCUGCCUUGUCUGAGUCUUAGAGUAGGCCUGGAAAAUGCUGACCCCGCAAACAGGAGCGAUUGCAUUAACACCAUUGAUCCUCGUGUCUAGAACAAGAUUUAGG
This is a long non-coding RNA of Equus caballus (horse), 4028 nucleotides long. The record is from Ensembl. NCBI's taxonomy places the organism in Eukaryota, Metazoa, Chordata, Mammalia, Perissodactyla, Equidae.